CAAGCUUCUGGCAUUAUGCGCUUGUGUGGUACCAGCAGAUUCCCCAGAGAACCUUGCAAAGAUCACAACAGAAUGAAGGCUCGAAUGGACAUCCAGGAAUGAAGAAAGGGGUAGAAGACAUCUGACAGCUUUCAAGAAAAUGACAGCUUCUUUGGCAUAUAUUUUCAGGUCUUCAACACCUUCUGAAUAUAGUAUCAAAAACAGAGAAGAUGCCAUGAAAGUCUUAC
This is a long non-coding RNA of Neogale vison (American mink), 227 nucleotides long. RefSeq lists it as uncharacterized. The transcript has 3 exons. Lineage: Eukaryota; Metazoa; Chordata; Mammalia; Carnivora; Mustelidae. The record is from RefSeq and is a predicted model, not a curated record.